RNAcentral lists this long non-coding RNA (1635 nucleotides) under Mus musculus (house mouse). RNAcentral describes it as "predicted gene 11110". The record is from RNAcentral. Lineage: Eukaryota; Metazoa; Chordata; Mammalia; Rodentia; Muridae.
GGGGCGGGGCGGGGGUGGGGAGGAAGUGCUGUUCUCUCCCUGUCGGUGCAGCGAUGCUUCCAGAAGCUAUAACUUCUUCAAAGCCACAGUUUGAAGACUUCCACCUCACAGACUCAUCAUCCAUGUCACCAGGGAACUGGAAUCCUGACUCAGCUGAAAGUAACUCCACUCAGCCAUCUUUCUCUCCUGCAGAGCCUGAAGAGAGCCCAGGAAGAUUGGCCUGGAAGAUGUGACCCACCUCCCAUGUCUGCAGCUAUGCUCACCAACCUGUGUGAAGAUCUGUGAAGUCCUAGUCUGCCCUGCUCUGUGAUAUGUGCAUAUCUUUAGUGACUUGGGCAGCCCCUCCUUGGCCGUGAGCCACAUGUGGCACCACCUUUUGGCCAUUUGCCCACUAGUGCCACCUCCUUCCAUCGCCAAAGCAGUGGGAUCACUGGAUUUGCAUUUGGCUACCAGAUGUUGCAGGAAGGAAUUGAAGAGACAGACACAACUCAGCACCAACUCUACCCUUAUCUUGGGGAACCCCUCUAUUCCAAUCACCCCCGUGCUCGGACAGAGAAUAUUGUGUCUGUUUGGUUCGUUGUCUUCAAAGAUUAGCACUCAUUGUCAAUUUGAUGACACAACCUAGACUCACCUGGGAAGAGUCUAAAUAGGGGAUUGUCUGUUUAGAUUGGGUUGGGGACCUGUCUGUUGGGGAUUUCCUAAUUACUUUAGCUGAUAUGUGAAGACCCAGCCCACUGUGGGCAGCACCAUUCCUUAGUUAGGAGGUCUUCGACUGUAUAAGAGUGGAGAAAUGAAGUUGAAGGUGAGAAGCAACAGGAUCAACAUGCAGGCACUCAUUUCUCUGCGCAUGACUGGAUGUCACAUGACCAGCUCCUAUCUUGACUUCUCCACAACAGUUGAACUAUAACCUGGAAUUGUAAGCCAAAAGUAAGCCCCUUUUGCUCCUAAGUUGUUUUGUUUUAUUUUGUGUUGUUUGUCAGAGUAUUUUCUUCCAGCAGCAGACUUAAAACUAAAACAGAGUUAGAGGGUGGGUUGUUCUUUCUGGGUAAGAGAUCCAUUAGUUAUUAACUCCAUAGAUGGACAGACAACAGCAUAGCGUGGGUUCUGGGGAGAGACCAGGCACACAUGGCAGAGUCCUGCUCUUCCUUAGAUGCUGGAGGACUGAAAGAGCCAUAGAGGUCAAAGACACCACAAGAAACCCUACAGAAUCAACUAACCUUGGCACAUAGAGGCUCACAGAGACUAAACCACCAACCAGAGAGCAUGCAUAGGACAGACCUAGUCUCCCUAUACGUAUGUAACAGAUGUAUAGCUUGGUCCUCAUGUGGGACUUCUAACAGCAGGAGGAGAAGAUGUCUCUGACUCUGUUGCCUACCUUCGGAUCCCUUUCCCCUAACUGGAUGGCCUUGCCUAGCUCAAGAGGAGAUGCACCCAGUCCUACUACAAUUUGAUAUGCCAAGGCAGAGGUUGAUAUCCAUGGGAGGUCUCUCCUCUGAGGAAAAAGGAGGGCAUAAGAGAAGGGGAGGAGAGAGGGACAGUCUGGGAGGAGAGGAGAAAGGAAAAGCUCAGGUCAGAAUAUAAAGUACAUAAAUAAAUUAAUUAAUAAAAAAUAAAAUUAUAUCUGUUAAAAAAGAA